This 335-nucleotide unclassified non-coding RNA is filed under the name Hevea brasiliensis (rubber tree). The record is from RNAcentral. Lineage: Eukaryota; Viridiplantae; Streptophyta; Magnoliopsida; Malpighiales; Euphorbiaceae.
AAUAGGUACUUCUUCAGUUAUAAUGGUUUGUAAAGUUUAAGGUUGACAUUGUAAUAAUAGUUGAGUUUCUAAUUUAAAUUACACUUUAAGGUUGGGGGCCAUGGUUUUAAUUUGGAAUCAUUUUAAUAAUACUGUUUCAAGCUUAUUAUCUUUGUCUGGAGUGAUUCACUUCUAUUUGACCGAUGCUUGAUUAUAUAAUGUUUUCUUAUCGUUGUUGUCCACUGUAAUUAAUUAACAUCCUAUGGUUGUCCAGUUGCACUUAAUUAUUCCCGUUGUUGCAUCAAGUUUGGUUUAUGAAACAUAUUAUAUGAAGAUAAUAUCAAAACUUUGGCCCA